RNAcentral lists this non-coding RNA (128 nucleotides) under Acidovorax sp. CF316. RNAcentral's name for it is "TPP riboswitch aptamer (THI element)". It matches the Rfam family "TPP riboswitch aptamer (THI element)". From Rfam's summary of the family: Vitamin B(1) in its active form thiamin pyrophosphate (TPP) is an essential coenzyme that is synthesised by coupling of pyrimidine and thiazole moieties in bacteria. RNAcentral also lists the same sequence under 1 other name. The record is from Rfam by way of RNAcentral. Lineage: Bacteria; Pseudomonadati; Pseudomonadota; Betaproteobacteria; Burkholderiales; Comamonadaceae.
GCCGCUGCUCCGGGGUGUGCGAAAGCGCUGAGAUGCAAAGGGCCUGAUGGUUGAUCCAUCAGGCGGCCUGCGAACCCGACGAACUUGAUCCGGUUCAUACCGGCGGAAGAAGAGCCGACCUUCAUGCC